RNAcentral lists this transfer RNA (74 nucleotides) under Halichoeres hartzfeldii (Hartzfeld's wrasse). RNAcentral describes it as "tRNA-Leu". It matches the Rfam family "tRNA". Rfam says of the family: Transfer RNA (tRNA) molecules are approximately 80 nucleotides in length. Lineage: Eukaryota; Metazoa; Chordata; Actinopteri; Labriformes; Labridae. The record is from RNAcentral.
GUUAAGGUGGCAGAGCUCGGCAAUUGCAAAAGGUCUAAGCCCUUUGAACAGAGGUCCAAAUCCUCUCCUUAACA